UGUAGAUGAUAGUGUAGCGUUUAGACGUUAAUAUCCAGUGUAAAUUAGGUAUAAAUCUAAGAGCGGUAUGGAAGGACAGGGAACGCCCGGUAAACGCGUUUACGAUCCAUGCGCGGGGUGGCGCGGGCGCGUGCCGACGCACGAGAGAGACACGCGCCCACGCACCUCGGAGAGGAUAUACAGGUUGAACGUGUUACAUGUAAAUUAUAAAGAUACAAGACACUAUUUAGCUAGCUAUCUGAAUUCGACUUUGUGUGUGUGUGUGUGUGUGGUGGGUGAUGGUGGUGGUCAUGCGUCGUGAUCAUUAACGUGGUAUCAACCGUCCCGUGUAAAUUAAUAUGAAACGGUCUUUGAACUCUGUCUCUCGCUCUCUCUCUCUCUCUCUCUCGAUUCGAAAAAAAAAUAAAAAUA
Long non-coding RNA from Apis dorsata (giant honeybee), 411 nucleotides. RefSeq lists it as uncharacterized. The record is from RefSeq and is a predicted model, not a curated record. Lineage: Eukaryota; Metazoa; Arthropoda; Insecta; Hymenoptera; Apidae. The transcript is spliced from 2 exons.